GAAACCUCGUCUUGCUUACACGCCAUCCGGGCGUCGAGCAGUGUUUUUAUAAAACACGGACAUUCCGUCCGGGUGAGGAGAGAGA
The submitters of this non-coding RNA (85 nucleotides) gave its source as unclassified sequences. The record is from Rfam.